CAAAAAGUGCUAUAAGACUCCCAAAAGAAUGCCAAAGGGAAGCCAAGCACACUCGAGCAACAACCCGAUCCGGCCAUGUGACAGCCCACAUGUGCCCACGACACAUGCCCAUGACAUUGGCAUAUGCCCACAGAAGGCAGCCUACGAGCCCCGCAUGCAUGUCGUGACACGUGCCCACGACAGCCCCAUGUGCGUGUACGGACGCACACCUCAUGGACGCGGACACCAGACAAGGCGUCAGGCACCAACGCCACCCAGACGACCCAUGUGCACCGACAGCUGCACAUGGCACGGCGGCCAACCCACCAGGCGCGCACACAGGCGCCCACGCCCAUCAGACGGCCGCCCAUGCCAGACAUGGCAUGGCGCGCGCGGCCCCAUGCGCGCGCGCCCCAGCAUGCGCACGACCAUACGCGCGCGUCCCUGCAUCCGCACGCCCCACGCCCCGAAGCGCCGAGAAGCUUCCAGAAGAAUCGGGAAGGCGCGCGACACUUCGCGAGGCGCGCGCCCAGCGCCCGCGAAGAAGGACACCCGCGCGCGCGCGCAGAAGGCUCUGGAAGGCGCGCGCGCGCGCCAGACACCCCCAGAUGCUUCCAGAAGGCCCCAGACACGCCCCUGUGCGUGCUGCUCCGCCCAUGCUCGGUCUAGACAGCCCCAGAAGCUUCUAGAACGCCCGAGACAGUACCAGAAUGUGCCAGAAUGGUCUGGACACGCCCGAGAAGGCCCUGGAACAUGCUGGAACGUGCUGGACAAAGCUAGAACGUGCUAGAAGGCUACAAUGACGGUCUGGAAGUGUCAUGAAAGGUCUAGUCCUCUCUAGAAUGUUCUAGGCUUCCUUGUAAUGUACUAAACCCUCUUGUAUCAUCUAGAAUAUUCCUUGGCCGACCUUAUGAGGCCCUAGGUCGGUUUGGCAAGGUUAUAAAUACUUGUAAGGGCCCUCAUUUGUAAAGGGGAGGAAGGAAACCAAUAAGAGAAAGGGUUCUCUUAAGCUCUCUCAACUUCUCACUCACUCUCUUGCCAACCCAUUGUAAUUUCUAAGUGCCUUAGGUGCACUAAUCAUCUUCCGCUGCAUUUUAUUGAGGUUAUUCAUAGUGCUUGGUGCACUAACCUCUUGUUAAGGCUUACUUGGCUAACGGGGACGACAUAGUCAAGCCAAGUGCCGCACGGUUGGUUAGCUUCAGAUCCUAACCACGUGACAUUUGGUAUCAGAGCAGUUCGAUUCUGCGGCACCAACGGAUUUGGUAUCAGAGCAGUUCGAUUCUGCGGCACCAACGGAUUUGGUAUCAGAGCAGUUCGAUUCUGCGGCACCAACGGAUUUGGUAUCAAAGCAGUUCGAUUCUGCGGCACCAACGGAUUUGGUAUCAGAGCAGUUCGAUUCUGCGACACCAACGGAGUUGGUAUUGAAGUCGUUCGACUACGUGGCUUCAACGGGAACUUUUGGCAAGAGUGUCAUGCUCCCAAAAGGAGGAGGACAUCCAGAGCCCGAAGUCUGGAAUCGGGAAUCAAGAGCCCUAAAGUCUUGAAUCUCCUUAGGAUGUAUCGGAGCAAUGGUGUGAGGACCUAGGUACACCUAAGCGAUGUGAUGAGGUUGUCAAGAUGAGAAGAGACGAUCGGAGUUGGAUUGCGAAAGGCAAGGUCAACCGUGGAUGGUGAGCUCCACGCAAAAAUGGUGCCAAUGACAAAGACUCCUCGAUGAUGAUGGCGCAACAACAAAGGACCGGAAUGCGCACCGCCUUGCGCAUAACCUUGGAUCAGCAUGCGCGCCGUCUCGCGCAUACUCACGGGAAGCACUCCGGAACGUGCUAACUCUUCGGCGUCGCAACGAGGGCGUUGCGAAGUUUGAGUGGGGGAGGGUGUCACGUGUGAAAUUUUGACCCCAAGAAUCACCCCCAAAAUUGCGCCAAUUCGUGCCACGACUCCUUCAGCAAGGCCCAGGAGCAGCCCAACGUGGUCCUAAGACAGCCCAAGGGCGACCACGACAUAUGCCUACGGCAUUGGCAGGCACCUCUCGAGGACAACUCACAAGCCCCGCACGCGUGCCACGACGAGUGCCCAUGACAGCCCGAGUGUCAGCCCACGACACAGCCCCAUGGCACGCCCAGAUGCCCGUUAACACGGCCAUAGGCGCCCGGCACCAGCGCCCACCAUCGGACCCAUGCGCACGGGCACAUGCGCAUGGCAAGGCGGCAAGACAAGAAACUGCGCGCGCAGUGUCACAAUCGUAGCGUUUCAACCUCGAGACGGACGAUUGUGCGGCACUUGUUCUAACUCACGAACAAGUCAGCCGAUCAAAAUCCAAGAGUUGUGGGUAACGUCGAUGUAUGUCGUAACCUUCCUUCGCGUUUUAGGGAAAUUUUAUUUAUAAAACGCGGGAAAGAAAGAAAUACAUUGAAAUAGACGUUACAAUAAGCAUUAAAGACUGUCAGUUGCAAGGAAAAAGGGUAGCUUGCAAAGAGUACAACUAAUGCUUGGGCGGGGAUUCAACUGGUAUGCCUCCCCUAUAGUACAUUUUGAACAUUUUCUUCUCUGGCAGGCUUGCAUAUGGAAAAUGCCGAAACGUCACACCCAAGCUUUAUGACCUAGAAUGGAAAGCAAACACCUAAACUAGUUAUGCAAAGUAAAGAUGGGAUAAACUGGGGGUAAUCGGAGCAUAUAACCAAAGGUAAACACACUUUGGAAAAAUAUGUCCGUGACACGCAGCACGCGCGAACCCCAGUCGGCCGCCCAUGCUCGUCCAGGCAUGGCGCGCAUGACCCCGCGCGCGCGCAGCCCACGCCCGCGACAGGCGCGCGCGGCCCCAGCGCGCGCGCCCGUGUCCGCCCAACGUCCAGACGGCCCCAGAACCUCCGAGAAGCUUCCAGAAGAAUCGGGAAGGCUCGCGACACUUCGCGAGGCGCGCACGGUGCGCCCCAACGCGCGCGCGCGCGGAAGGCUCCGGAAGGCCCGCGCGCGCGCCCGACGCCCCCAGAUGCUUCCAGAAGGCUCCAGACACGCCCAUGUGCGUGCUGCCCCGCCCAUGCUCGGUCUAGACAGCCCCAGAAGCCUCUAGAACGUCCGAGACAGUGCCAGAAUGCGCUGGAAUGCGCGGGAAGCUCCCGAGAAGGCCCCGGAACGUGCUGGAUGAUGCUGGAACGUGCUGGAACACUCUAGAAGGCUAUUAUGACGGACAGCGAGUGUCAUGAAAGGUCUAGUCUUCUCUAGAAUGUUCUAGGCUUCCUUGUUAUGUACCAAAUGAACUUGUAAUCUCUAGAAUCUCCCUUGGCCGACCUUCUAAGGUCCAAGGUUGGUGAGGAUGGUCUAUAAAUACUUGGGGAGGGCGUCAUUUGUAUCAAGCCUUGCAACCUUGUAUCUUGGCAUGUCUUAGCCAAGCAAGGUCACCUUGCCACCCAAAGUCUCCUUGCCCAUGGUAUCCCCAUGACAAGGAGACAGCAUAUUUGUACCCAAAUAUGUAUUCAUCUAUUCUUGGAAUGUAAUGUAUCAUUCCCAAGACGUGUCCAUCCAAACUCCCUCAUCCUUCCAACCUCUCUCGUGUCUUGCAACCAACCUAAGUACUUCCGCUGCAACCCGUUGGCGUAGUGCUUGGCGCACUACCCCUUCCGGGAAAGGCUUACUUGGCUACGUGGGCAACGUAGUUAGCCAAGUGCCGCACGUAUGGUUAGCUUCAGAUUCUAACCACGUGACAUUUGGUAUCAGAGCAGUUCGAUUCUGCGGCACCAAUGGAGGUGGUAUCAGAGCGUGUUCGUUCGAAGGGACAUACUCUUAAUCGUUGGUAUCAAGUACACGAUACCGAGGGACCGGGAUUCAAGACCCCUAGUUCUUGAAACGUUGUCGAGGUGUAUCGGAGCAACGGUGUGAGGACCUAGGUACGCCUUAUCGCUUUACCCUAUUUAUUGACUCGAAUGGCAUCCAGGGAAGGAUACGAGUCACCGAUUGAGCAAGUCGUUGAAGGGCCAACGACACGUGGACGUGCUGCACAACGUUCCCCAUCCCGACAGAACAAGGCAACAACGUC
RNAcentral lists this long non-coding RNA (4012 nucleotides) under Cucumis sativus (cucumber). RNAcentral's name for it is "long non-coding RNA (CSAT_LNC002248)". Lineage: Eukaryota; Viridiplantae; Streptophyta; Magnoliopsida; Cucurbitales; Cucurbitaceae. The record is from RNAcentral.